This is a long non-coding RNA of Eriocheir sinensis (Chinese mitten crab), 2005 nucleotides long. RefSeq lists it as uncharacterized. Lineage: Eukaryota; Metazoa; Arthropoda; Malacostraca; Decapoda; Varunidae. The transcript has 13 exons. The record is from RefSeq and is a predicted model, not a curated record.
UUUCUGUUGUUUUUUCUGUUGUUCUCUGUUGUUUCCUGUUGUUUUCUGUUCUAUUCUGUUGUAUUUUAAUGUAUUCUGUUCUAUUCCGUUGUUUUUCUGUUGUUUCCUGUUGUUUCUUGUUGUUUUUCUGUUGUUUCCCGUUUUUUCUGUUGUUUUCUGUUGUUUCCUGCUGUUUUCUGUUCUAUUCUGUUGUAUUCUGUUGUAUUUUAAUGUAUUAUGUUCUAUUCCGUUGUUUUUUGUUGUAUUCUGUUGUAUUCUGUUGUAUUUUAAUGUAUUAUGUUCUAUUCCGUUGUUUUUUGUUGUAUUCUGUUGUAUUCUGUUGUAUUUUAAUGUAUUAUGUUCUAUUCCGUUGUUUUUUGUUGUAUUCUGUUGUAUUUUAAUGUAUUCUGUUGUCUAUUCUGUUGUAUUCCAGUGGUGUAUCAGAAUUGGUGUACGUUUAGAAAUAAGGGACGUUUAUGCAUUUUUUUCAUUGACUUGGAAAAAACACAAACGUUUGCUUAAUUAUGGACGAACGGCUUCGAGUUGCCUCGUGCAAUAUCAGGUAAUGUGGCCUAAAUACUGACCACUGGGGGGCGUGGACUAUUACAACAUAAUUUAGAGGUGUGCCGGCAGGUGUGUGAGGUGCCAGGUCAGGUGUGCCAGCGUUAGUUACCCCGUUAGGAGCGAUUCUAACACCCGCGUCAUCGGGGGCCGCCGGACCUGAGCCCAGCCCCGUACAGACAGUUUUUCUUACGUUGUGUCACUAAUUGUCGUUUGCAAGAGUCGCCACAACGCCCCACGCAUUCACUGUCGAUGGGGAAAGGCUUUCCUACACUGGCGUUAGCGUAGAUGAUAAACCACUACAUGCUUGAGAUGCCCCGUUAACACCUCGCCCCGCCCCCACCUUCCUGGCCUGCCCGCCCCCUGGCAUAAAUUGUUUCCAGAAACCCCUAAAUGACCGACUCUUCCAUGCCUGAGAUGACCCGCCCUGCCCUGCGUCAUGACCUCCCGGCAUACAUUGACAUAAGAAGAAGAGGAGGAAGAACAAGAGGAGGAGGAGGAGGAGGAUGAAGGGGACACACAGGAAUCAAAUGGCUGGGGAAGGAGACGGUGGCUGAGUGGUUAGUGUGCCGGUCCUGCGUUCACUGCAUCAUGGAUGAUGAGGGUUUGAAUCUGUCGCUGCCACAGACUACUUGUCCUGAAGACCACCACCAUCAUCCUGGACUGUAUGGGACUGUCCAAGGGAAAGCAAGAUGGGGCCGCUAUAAACACUUGCCGGCUUGGGCCCACCACCAGGCCCAGCCGAGGGAGGUUGGUGUAGCAGUGCCUAGAGGUUCCAUAACACAGGGCACUCCUCACCUCAACAACAGUCUCUUCACCGACAACUAAUUCUUCACCAACAAGCUUUUCAGCAGCUUGGAGAAAUAGAGGAAGAAGAGGAGGAAGAAGAAGAGAAGAUGAAGAGGAAGAAGAGGAGGAGGAGGAUAAGGACUUGGUUGGUGUAGCAGUGCCGGGAGGUUCCAUAACACAGGGCACUCCUCACCUCAACAAUAGUCUCUUCACCGACAAGUAAUUCUUCACCAACAAGCUUUUCAGCAGCUUGGAGAAAUAGAGGAAGAAGAGGAGGAAGAAGAAGAGAAGAUGAAGAGGAAGAAGAGGAGGAGGAGGAUAAGGACUUGGUUGGUGUAGCCGUGCCGGGAGGUUCCAUAACACAGGGCACUCCUCACCUCAACAAUAGUCUCUUCACCGACAAGUAAUUCUUCACCAACAAGCUUUUCAGCAGCUUGGAGAAAUAGACACUACCAAACGAAGAAGAGGAGGAGGAGGAGGAAGAAGAAGACGAGGAACACAGGAGGAGCCCAUUGAGUGUGCGGUGUCCCGCAGGCAGACCGAGAUGUCCGUUCAAUUCUGCCGAAGGAAAGAAGUCGUGUUAGUCAACUCUGAUGACUUGUACUUUUCUCUGCAAGGGACUGUUCUGUAAGCCAGUCACAGAAGAUGUGAACUGUAUCUGUACUAUGAAGUCUUA